This 550-nucleotide ribosomal RNA is filed under the name Psychrobacillus sp. RNAcentral's name for it is "bacterial SSU rRNA". It matches the Rfam family "Bacterial small subunit ribosomal RNA", at positions 915 to 1462 of the family's 1533-position model. Lineage: Bacteria; Bacillati; Bacillota; Bacilli; Caryophanales; Bacillaceae. The record is from RNAcentral.
GGGGGCGCGCACAAGCGCUGGAGCAUGUGGUUUUAUUCGCAGCAACGCGAAGAACCUUACCAGGUCUUGACAUCCCGCUGACCGCUCUACAGAUAGAGUUUUCCCUUCGGGGACAGCGGUGACAGCUGGUGCAUGGUUGUCGUCAGCUCGUGUCGUGAGAUGUUGGGUUAAGUCCCGCAACGAGCGCAACCCUUGAUCUUAGUUGCCAGCAUUCAGUUGGGCACUCUAAGGUGACUGCCGGUGAUAAUCCGGAGGAAGGUGGGGAUGACGUCAAAUCAUCAUGCCCCUUAUGACCUGGGCUACACACGUGCUACAAUGGACGGUACAGAGGGUCGCAACCCCGCGAGGGUGAGCUAAUCCCAUAAAACCGUUCUCAGUUCGGAUCGUAGGCUGCAACUCGCCUACAUGAAGCCGGAAUCGCUAGUAAUCGUGGAUCAGCAUGCCACGGUGAAUACGUUCCCGGGCCUUGUACACACCGCCCGUCACACCACGAGAGUUUGUAACACCCGAAGUCGGUGGGGUAACCCUUACGGGAGCCAGCCGCCGAAGG